Molecule: long non-coding RNA, 2719 nt
Organism: Notothenia coriiceps (black rockcod)
Lineage: Eukaryota; Metazoa; Chordata; Actinopteri; Perciformes; Nototheniidae
Exons: 3
Source: RefSeq, a predicted model, not a curated record
ACCUGUCAGUCAGCCUUCCUUCUGUGCACAAACUUAUCUCAUGCCCUCAUUGGUCAUGAGGGCAUGACCAGUGCGCGUUAGUGUAUGUUGGAGGAGGGGCUCUGUAAGGAAGUCUGAAGGAAGGGGCAGAUUUCUUUCGGCUGUUUACUUUCAAAUGAUAGCGCACUCGAGCUGGUUUCUCCAUUCUUACCCUACCAGUACCUUUUUAAGUUUGUUAGUUCUAAAGGAAAAUACUGUUUUGAGCUCUGGGAAUCUGCCUAUACCUAGAGAGAGCUGCCCUUGAGCAAGGCACCAGAACCCCACACUGCUGUGUAUAUGAUAGCUGCCUACUGCUCCUAAUACUAGGUUGGGUUAAAUGCAGAGUCUAUAUUUCACUGUCUGUGGUGCUGUGUACAGGUGUGACGGUUAGAAGUUGAUUUGAUUCGGAUCAUCCACUUUCCAUGCCACCACAGAGAAACAAAUGUGUAUACAAAAAAUACGAAGGGUUUAUAAAAGAAAAAUCAAUUGAGUUUUGAUUAAUUGGGAAAAAACGUCUACAGAUGAAUCCAGAAAGAUACAAAUAUUUGGUUCUUAGUUUAAAAUUAGUUCAACCACUACUCCCAUAGUAAAAAGAGUAAUGAUAAUGAUACAAUAAAUAAUAGUACAGGAGACGUUCUUCAGCUUCGAGUACUUUUCAUACUUUAAAUACAUUUCCAUGACUAUACUUUUACUACACUAACAUUUUCAAUGAAGGACCUUUAACAAUUGUUUUCAGUGAACUAUAAGUACUUUUACUUUAGGUAAAGGAUCUGAAUAUACCUUCUAUCUCUGCUGUUGGUUAGUAACAGGUUGCCUUCUUUGUCUUUGCUGUGUUUGUGAAACUGGUGUGUGAGAGACAGCAGGGUGUGUCACCAAACGCUCCUAGUUUUCCAGAAGUGGAAGAUACUUGGCUGAGAAACUUACUGGAGCUGAUUUUUACAUUCACUCCAUUUCAGUAUAACAUUUCCAUUUCUCAAUAUAAACAAUGAGGUUCUUUCUUCUUCUCUCUGCCACCUUUAGUUUGAGCGUAGCAGCAGGUAAGACUUGUCCAGAGAAAAACAUUUAAAAUGGAAAUGUUAUACAUUCUUAAACAAAAUCUUUAUUGAUUUGACAUAUUUUACACAUAUAAUAGAUACUGAUAAUGAUUAAAUGAGACCCUAACCCUCAAAUGAGUAAGUGAUUAAUGUGUAAAAUCUACAAUGUCAUCACUUUACACACUUGACCUGGAAAUGAAUGAUGUUUUCAAAUUCAUGUUUUCAUUAAGAAAUAUUGUAGCGUAAAGCUUAAGUAGGCAUAACCACAUGAUAAAAAAGGUAAAAAACCACGGCUGAAGGUAACAGAAAAAAUCUGACACAACAAACAAACAAAGCAAAUCAAGAUGUUUGUCGGGAAUCUGCCCCGGAAACAUCUUACUACAUUUAAUGAAGCUGAAGUGGAAACCUUAACUGUAUAAAUCUUGUCCAAAAUCCACAGACGUUGAAGACACAACAUUUAAACUUUGAUUCUAAUCCAGUCAAUCAGGAAAUGAUUUGCCAAAAUACCAUUAUGUGAAGUGAUUUAAGGCGAGAGAAGGACUCAGAUCCCUAACUUAAGGACAAGUAGAUAAUAUGGACUUAAAAUAUUCCAUUACAAAUAAAGAACCUGAAUUCAAAAUGUUGCUUAAGUAGAAGUAAAGACGUGUACUUAAAGUAUGCAGAUUGGCUCUUUUUGCAGUGCUUUAUUAUUAUAGAAUAUUAUAUUAUCCUGUUUUUGUCACAAAAAAAUACAUACAAGAGGUUUUUAUGGUUGUAGUUUGUCAAUGUGGAGGACAAUAAAGAGACUUUGUAAAAAUACUGGGUUUAUUUGUAGUAUAUGCUGUAUUCAAAUAUAAGCAUAUCAUCUUUUUUAUAUGUUAAAUGUAAACAGUGGUAAUUAAAUUAGUAAAAAGUAUGAUUUUUGCCCUUGAAAUGUUGUGGCGUAAAAGUAGCAUAAAACAGAAAUAUACAAAAGUAAAAUACUUUUCACGUCAAAAAGUGACUUUAUAAUGGUACUUAGUUACAUUUCACCACUAGUAAUGUUUUUUUUGUCUCCUCCUGAUAGCAGAAGAGAGGGCUGCGUGGCAGUAUGAAGGAAGCGGCCUGACUCUUUUGGAGAUUGAGAUGUUUGACAGGUCGCCCAAUUGGGUCGGACACCAGAAACGAUACUUUGCUUUGAUACUUCGUCAACACGCCGAUGAGCUGGAUGGAUGCUGAGGCAGCCUGACGUUACACUGUUAAGGCGUUGGUGUAACACGAGACUGGAUUCCAAAUCUAUUUCCAAAGAUGCUUUAAACCCCUUCUUUACGUCUCACUUUGCUUUCCUGGUUAUUAAAGAUAUUGAAAAUAUUUGCAUUAUUCUCAGAUUUGAAAAAUAAAAAUGUCUACCUUCUAUGUAAAAGCUACAGCCCUGAUAUCUUCAUCUCUUUCUUUAAAAUGCUUUCCUUUUUAUUUAUUGACUUAGUCUUUCCAUACAUGCACUUUGCUCAAGUUACAACAUAUAUUGUUAACAGGCAAUUUCUCUGAUCUGUGGGGAUGUGAACAUUGAGCUGAAGUGUCCCUUCCUCUCGGGCACUGGACCAGUUCAGAUGGUAAGAGUUUUGGAAAAAGAUCUCUAAUGAUUUGCUUUAUUUUUGAUGGAGGGUGCAGUAUCUCCUCACACAGUAACAUUUUUUAAAUAACCCAUC